AUAAGAGGUACCAUUUAUGAAUUUUAUUAUUAAACUUUUUUUUCCUCUUCUACAAAGAUUAAAGAAUUAUAAUAAUUGAUAGAUAAAUGGUGGCACAUAAUCGGAGGCCCCGACUGUUUACUAAAAACACAGCACAGUGCAAUCAUUAAUGUGGUAGUAUACUGUGUGAAAUUUGCCCAAUGCCAUUAAUAUAAAAGCGGUCAUAGGAAACUGUGACUAAUUGAAAAUCUGGUUAAUAGCGGUCUUAACUAUGAGGAUCCUAAGGUAGCAAAAUAAAUUGGCCAUUAAAUGUGGUCCGGUAUCAAUAAUGUAACGAUGGCCUCACUGUCUCUACAACUUGCUCAGUGAAAUUGAAUUACGCGUGCAGAUGCGCGUUACCUCCAGUGGGACGGGAAGACCCUAU
This 403-nucleotide ribosomal RNA is filed under the name Amanita sp. C68in. Its description in RNAcentral is "LSU rRNA". It matches the Rfam family "Bacterial large subunit ribosomal RNA", at positions 1741 to 2094 of the family's 2925-position model. The record is from RNAcentral. Lineage: Eukaryota; Fungi; Basidiomycota; Agaricomycetes; Agaricales; Amanitaceae.